UCGAGGAUCUUCGGCAAUGGGCGCAAGCCUGACCGAGCGACGCCGCGUGUGCGACGAAGGCCUUCGGGUUGUAAAGCACUGUCGAGGGGAAGGAAAGCCGCAAGGCCUGACCGACCCCUGGAGGAAGCACGGGCUAAGUUCGUGCCAGCAGCCGCGGUAAGACGAACCGUGCGAACGUUGUUCGGAUUCACUGGGCUUAAAGGGCGCGUAGGCGGGUGUCCAAGUCUGGGGUGAAAUCCUUCGGCCCAACCGGAGAACAGCCUCGGAUACUGGACGUCUCGAGGGGGGUAGGGGCACGCGGAACUUCCGGUGGAGCGGUGAAAUGCGUAGAUAUCGGAAGGAACGCCGGUGGCGAAAGCGGCGUGCUGGACCCCUUCUGACGCUGAGGCGCGAAAGCCAGGGGAGCGAACGG
RNAcentral lists this ribosomal RNA (412 nucleotides) under uncultured bacterium. RNAcentral describes it as "bacterial SSU rRNA". It matches the Rfam family "Bacterial small subunit ribosomal RNA", at positions 355 to 775 of the family's 1533-position model. The record is from RNAcentral.